AAAUUGAAGAGUUUGAUCAUGGCUCAGAUUGAACGCUGGCGGCAGGCCUAACACAUGCAAGUCGAGCGGUAGCACAGAGAGCUUGCUCUCGGGUGACGAGCGGCGGACGGGUGAGUAAUGUCUGGGAAACUGCCUGAUGGAGGGGGAUAACUACUGGAAACGGUAGCUAAUACCGCAUAACGUCGCAAGACCAAAGUGGGGGACCUUCGGGCCUCAUGCCAUCAGAUGUGCCCAGAUGGGAUUAGCUAGUAGGUGGGGUAAUGGCUCACCUAGGCGACGAUCCCUAGCUGGUCUGAGAGGAUGACCAGCCACACUGGAACUGAGACACGGUCCAGACUCCUACGGGAGGCAGCAGUGGGGAAUAUUGCACAAUGGGCGCAAGCCUGAUGCAGCCAUGCCGCGUGUGUGAAGAAGGCCUUCGGGUUGUAAAGCACUUUCAGCGGGGAGGAAGGCGAUAAGGUUAAUAACCUUGUCGAUUGACGUUACCCGCAGAAGAAGCACCGGCUAACUCCGUGCCAGCAGCCGCGGUAAUACGGAGGGUGCAAGCGUUAAUCGGAAUUACUGGGCGUAAAGCGCACGCAGGCGGUCUGUCAAGUCGGAUGUGAAAUCCCCGGGCUCAACCUGGGAACUGCAUUCGAAACUGGCAGGCUAGAGUCUUGUAGAGGGGGGUAGAAUUCCAGGUGUAGCGGUGAAAUGCGUAGAGAUCUGGAGGAAUACCGGUGGCGAAGGCGGCCCCCUGGACAAAGACUGACGCUCAGGUGCGAAAGCGUGGGGAGCAAACAGGAUUAGAUACCCUGGUAGUCCACGCCGUAAACGAUGUCGAUUUGGAGGUUGUGCCCUUGAGGCGUGGCUUCCGGAGCUAACGCGUUAAAUCGACCGCCUGGGGAGUACGGCCGCAAGGUUAAAACUCAAAUGAAUUGACGGGGGCCCGCACAAGCGGUGGAGCAUGUGGUUUAAUUCGAUGCAACGCGAAGAACCUUACCUGGUCUUGACAUCCACAGAACUUUCCAGAGAUGGAUUGGUGCCUUCGGGAACUGUGAGACAGGUGCUGCAUGGCUGUCGUCAGCUCGUGUUGUGAAAUGUUGGGUUAAGUCCCGCAACGAGCGCAACCCUUAUCCUUUGUUGCCAGCGGUUAGGCCGGGAACUCAAAGGAGACUGCCAGUGAUAAACUGGAGGAAGGUGGGGAUGACGUCAAGUCAUCAUGGCCCUUACGACCAGGGCUACACACGUGCUACAAUGGCAUAUACAAAGAGAAGCGACCUCGCGAGAGCAAGCGGACCUCAUAAAGUAUGUCGUAGUCCGGAUUGGAGUCUGCAACUCGACUCCAUGAAGUCGGAAUCGCUAGUAAUCGUAGAUCAGAAUGCUACGGUGAAUACGUUCCCGGGCCUUGUACACACCGCCCGUCACACCAUGGGAGUGGGUUGCAAAAGAAGUAGGUAGCUUAACCUUCGGGAGGGCGCUUACCACUUUGUGAUUCAUGACUGGGGUGAAGUCGUAACAAGGUAACCGUAGGGGAACCUGCGGUUGGAUCACCUCCUUACCUUAAAGAA
Molecule: ribosomal RNA, 1550 nt
Filed under: Klebsiella pneumoniae
Lineage: Bacteria; Pseudomonadati; Pseudomonadota; Gammaproteobacteria; Enterobacterales; Enterobacteriaceae
Description: bacterial SSU rRNA
Rfam family: Bacterial small subunit ribosomal RNA
Source: RNAcentral